RNAcentral lists this ribosomal RNA (482 nucleotides) under uncultured bacterium. Its description in RNAcentral is "partial 16S ribosomal RNA". It matches the Rfam family "Bacterial small subunit ribosomal RNA", at positions 30 to 505 of the family's 1533-position model. The record is from RNAcentral.
AUUGAACGCCGGCGGCAGGCCUAACACAUGCAAGUCGAGCGGAUGAAGGGAGCUUGCUCCUGGAUUCAGCGGCGGACGGGUGAGUAAUGCCUAGGAAUCUGCCUGGUAGUGGGGGAUAACGUCCGGACACGGGCGCUAAUACCGCAUACGUCCUGAGGUAGAAAGUGGGGGAUCUUCGGACCUCACGCUAUCAGAUGAGCCUAGGUCGGAUUAGCUAGUUGGUGGGGUAAAGGCCUAACAAGGCGGCUAACCGGAACUGGUCUGAGAGGGUGAUCAGUCACACUGGCAGUGAGACACGGUCCAGACUCAUACGGGAGGCAGCAGUGGGGAAUAUUGGACUAUGGGCGAAAGCCUGAUCCAGACAUGCCGCGUGUGUGAAGAAGGUCUGCGGAUUGUAAAGCACUUUAAGUUGGGAGGAAGGGCAGUAAGUUAAUACCUUGCUGUUUUGACGUUACAAACAGAAUAAGCACCGGCUAACUUCG